UUUCCGUAGGUGAACCUGCGGAAGGAUCAUUACAGAGUUCAUGCCCGAAAGGGUAGACCUCCCACCCUUGUGUAUUAUUACUCUGUUGCUUUGGCGAGCGCAAGCUCGCCAAAGAAUACCAAAACUCUUUUUAUUAAUGUCGUCUGAGUACUAUAUAAUAGUUAAAACUUUCAACAACGGAUCUCUUGGUUCUG
Molecule: unclassified non-coding RNA, 194 nt
Filed under: plant metagenome
Description: partial contains small subunit ribosomal RNA, internal transcribed spacer 1, and 5.8S ribosomal RNA
Source: RNAcentral